UACAGAGGGUGCAAGCGUUGUUCGGAAUUACUGGGCGUAAAGCGCGUGUAGGCGGCUUAUUAAGUCGGACGUGAAAUCCCUUGGCUCAACCAAGGAACUGCGUCCGAUACUGGUUAGCUUGAGUGUCGGAGGGGGUGGCGGAAUUCCCGGUGUAGGGGUGAAAUUCGUAGAUAUCGGGAGGAACACCUGUGGCGAAGGCGGCCGACCUGGAAGACAACUGACGCUGAGACGCGAAAGCGUGGGGAGCAAACAGG
RNAcentral lists this ribosomal RNA (254 nucleotides) under uncultured bacterium. Its description in RNAcentral is "partial 16S ribosomal RNA". It matches the Rfam family "Bacterial small subunit ribosomal RNA", at positions 524 to 776 of the family's 1533-position model. The record is from RNAcentral.